RNAcentral lists this ribosomal RNA (94 nucleotides) under Stryphnodendron pulcherrimum. RNAcentral describes it as "partial 28S ribosomal RNA". It matches the Rfam family "Eukaryotic large subunit ribosomal RNA", at positions 1 to 101 of the family's 3401-position model. The record is from RNAcentral. Lineage: Eukaryota; Viridiplantae; Streptophyta; Magnoliopsida; Fabales; Fabaceae.
CAGGUCAGGCGGGGCUACCCGCUGAGUUUAAGCAUAUCAAUAAGCGAGGAAAAGAAACUAACAAGGAUUCCCCUAGUAACGGCGAGCGAACCGG